This is a long non-coding RNA of Adelges cooleyi (spruce gall adelgid), 259 nucleotides long. RefSeq lists it as uncharacterized. NCBI's taxonomy places the organism in Eukaryota, Metazoa, Arthropoda, Insecta, Hemiptera, Adelgidae. The transcript has 5 exons. The record is from RefSeq and is a predicted model, not a curated record.
CUCUACUAAGUGUUUAUUGUCUUAAAAAUUGUAAAAGCUUAAUAUUUUAUGUAAGCAUAACUAUCAAAUUCCUCAAAUUGUAAUUAGGCUUUCAAUCAGAUAAAAUGAAAAUUUUCCGUAUUUUACUAUCACUUUCUUUUGUAUAUGUUUUGGCCGAUAUAACGGCUUAUAAUAGUUUGCUCGCCAUUACAAACACACACAUCCUGCAAGCUUCUAUUUAUACUGAUCCUGUAAAAGGAAAUGGAUUGGAACACGUAAU